GAACGGGUGAGUAACACGUGGGUGAUCUGCCCUGCACUUCGGGAUAAGCUUGGGAAACUGGGUCUAAUACCGGAUAGGAGCCAUCUUUAGUGUGGUGGUUGGAAAGUUUUUUCGGUGUAGGAUGAGCUCGCGGCCUAUCAGCUUGUUGGUGGGGUAAUGGCCUACCAAGGCGGCGACGGGUAGCCGGCCUGAGAGGGUGUACGGCCACAUUGGGACUGAGAUACGGCCCAGACUCCUACGGGAGGCAGCAGUGGGGAAUAUUGCACAAUGGGCGCAAGCCUGAUGCAGCGACGCCGCGUGGGGGAUGAAGGCCUUCGGGUUGUAAACUCCUUUCGCUAGGGACGAAGCUUUUUGUGACGGUACCUAGAUAAGAAGCACCGGCUAACUACGUGCCAGCAGCCGCGGUAAUACGUAGGGUGCGAGCGUUGUCCGGAAUUACUGGGCGUAAAGGGCUCGUAGGUGGUUUGUCGCGUCGUCUGUGAAAUUCUGGGGCUUAACUCCGGGCGUGCAGGCGAUACGGGCAUAACUUGAGUGCUGUAGGGGUAACUGGAAUUCCUGGUGUAGCGGUGAAAUGCGCAGAUAUCAGGAGGAACACCGAUGGCGAAGGCAGGUUACUGGGCAGUUACUGACGCUGAGGAGCGAAAGCAUGGGUAGCGAACAGGAUUAGAUACCCUGGUAGUCCAUGCCGUAAACGGUGGGCGCUAGGUGUGAGGGUCUUUCUACGACUUUCGUGCCGUAGCUAACGCAUUAAGCGCCCCGCCUGGGGAGUACGGCCGCAAGGCUAAAACUCAAAGGAAUUGACGGGGGCCCGCACAAGCGGCGGAGCAUGUGGAUUAAAUUCGAUGCACGCGAAGAACCUUACCUGGGCUUG
Molecule: ribosomal RNA, 871 nt
Filed under: uncultured bacterium
Lineage: Bacteria
Description: bacterial SSU rRNA
Rfam family: Bacterial small subunit ribosomal RNA
Source: RNAcentral